This 261-nucleotide ribosomal RNA is filed under the name uncultured bacterium. Its description in RNAcentral is "partial 16S ribosomal RNA". It matches the Rfam family "Bacterial small subunit ribosomal RNA", at positions 793 to 1055 of the family's 1533-position model. The record is from RNAcentral.
GUCCACACCGUAAACGUUGGGCGCUAGGUGUGGGGCCUAUUCCAUGGGUUCCGUGCCGCAGCUAACGCAUUAAGCGCCCCGCCUGGGGAGUACGGCCGCAAGGCUAAAACUCAAAGGAAUUGACGGGGGCCCGCACAAGCGGCGGAGCAUGCGGAUUAAUUCGAUGCAACGCGAAGAACCUUACCUGGGUUUGACAUACACCGGAAAGCCUCAGAGAUGGGGGCCCCUUUUGUCGGUGUACAGGUGGUGCAUGGCUGUCGU